GGAGGGAUGGCUGAGUGGUUUAAGGCGGCGGUCUUGAAAACCGUUGAUGCGCAAGUAUCCGGGGGUUCGAAUCCCUCUCCCUCCGCCA
RNAcentral lists this transfer RNA (88 nucleotides) under Roseimicrobium sp. ORNL1. RNAcentral describes it as "tRNA-Ser". It matches the Rfam family "tRNA". From Rfam's summary of the family: Transfer RNA (tRNA) molecules are approximately 80 nucleotides in length. Their secondary structure includes four short double-helical elements and three loops (D, anti-codon, and T loops). Further hydrogen bonds mediate the characteristic L-shaped molecular structure. tRNAs have two regions of fundamental functional importance: the anti-codon, which is responsible for specific mRNA codon recognition, and the 3' end, to which the tRNAs corresponding amino acid is attached (by aminoacyl-tRNA synthetases). tRNAs cope with the degeneracy of the genetic code in two manners: having more than one tRNA (with a specific anti-codon) for a particular amino acid; and 'wobble' base-pairing, i.e. permitting non-standard base-pairing at the 3rd anti-codon position. Lineage: Bacteria; Pseudomonadati; Verrucomicrobiota; Verrucomicrobiia; Verrucomicrobiales; Verrucomicrobiaceae. The record is from RNAcentral.